UGCUUUGCGCAGUUACGAAGC
Molecule: non-coding RNA, 21 nt
Filed under: Caenorhabditis elegans
Lineage: Eukaryota; Metazoa; Nematoda; Chromadorea; Rhabditida; Rhabditidae
Source: RNAcentral